This 106-nucleotide ribosomal RNA is filed under the name Erinaceus europaeus (western European hedgehog). Lineage: Eukaryota; Metazoa; Chordata; Mammalia; Eulipotyphla; Erinaceidae. The record is from RNAcentral.
AUCUACGGCCACACCACCCUGAACACGCCUGAUCUCGUCUGAUCUCGGAAGCUAAGCAGGGUCGGGCCUGGUUAGUACUUGGAUGGGAGACAAUGUAUUUGAUAUC